RNAcentral lists this long non-coding RNA (334 nucleotides) under Solanum tuberosum (potato). Its description in RNAcentral is "long non-coding RNA (STUB_LNC011695)". Lineage: Eukaryota; Viridiplantae; Streptophyta; Magnoliopsida; Solanales; Solanaceae. The record is from RNAcentral.
UAAAUUCAAAUAAGAUCUUUCUCCGCUCCGUCCAAAGCCUAAUUGAGACAAAUCAGCUCUUACUGUUCUCCGGUCUUUGCUCUUGAAGAUCCGCUCUUGAGAACCUCUAUCUCUUUCUUCAAAGCCUCAUUCGAAGCCUGACAGUCUUACAUACAGUAUAUUACCCGCAAGUUCAUCUUCUUUGAUAGGAUAUUAGAUUAGUCGGAAAUCCAAGUUCCAGUUGGUUCUCAAUCUUCAGAGGUGGGCUUACUUCCUUUUUAAAGCAAACAUGUGGACAUAAAAAAGAAUAAAAUUGAUAGAAUAGAGGAAGAUUAAUGUGCAGCUGAUUCUAUAC